This is an RNA transcript of Nicotiana attenuata, 4849 nucleotides long. RefSeq lists it as uncharacterized. The transcript is spliced from 4 exons. Lineage: Eukaryota; Viridiplantae; Streptophyta; Magnoliopsida; Solanales; Solanaceae. The record is from RefSeq and is a predicted model, not a curated record.
UGACACAAUUAUAAGCAAAUAGCGGCGGCUCUAAACCUACGCCAUCUGCAAAUAAAAUAGGGCGCUAAUAUUUCCCACGCUUAUUUUUGCUUCGUUCAUUUUUUACUCUUGAAAAAAAUACAAAUAUAACAAAACCUCAAAAGCUCCGCCACUUCUCACUAACGUUUUUCCACAGACUCAAGCAGUGGCAAAGACAUCUCAAUCACUCACUCGGGCAUAGUAAUCGACAAGUAUCUUCAAUUACAGUAAGUUCUUCUACCCUAUUUUUGGAUUAGUGCAAUGUUAUUUCUACAAAUGGGUCUUUCAUCUUCCCUAUUUUUGGGUUUGUAUAAUCAGUAAUUUUUGUAUGUUUUCUAUUUCAUGUGGCUUUAAUUUUAUUUUUGCUGCUUUUUUGGAUACUGUAUGUUAGAUUUGGAUUUUCUCUGUUUAUUAGAGAUUUUUUUGUUUGUAUAAUCACUCCCCUUGUCAAAUAGAUUUUUAAGCUUUCCUCUUUUCGGUUGGUUGCUCGGGUAUUUGCCUGACUACUGUACUUGAUGAAUGAUGAAUCAGAAACUGCCUAUUCCUUCAUUCUGUUUAACGCAUCUGUAUCUCUAGUCACAUAUCUUUUGCUUGUCCAUUCUUUUUAUCUUUGCAUCUUCGUCAAUCCAUGCCCUAAUUCUAGUUAUUUCAACAGUUCCAAAUAAACUGUUCUAUUUAAUUGUUUGGGGUGUACUACCUAGUAUAUAAACAUUUUUCCUAUAAUGCAGGAUACAUUUUCAGUAUCCUAUUGCGGAAAGGUAAAGCUAGGAACACUUUUAAACCAGCAAUAUUUCAGUUAUGGGAAUAAGUUACUUUAUCUUCUAUUUUGGAACUGCCUAUGUUUAUACAAAACUGUAGGACCAAUAUUUGCUCAUCAAACGAAACUACAAUUCUUGCAUGAAUACUUGUAUGCUGUUGAACCCUUUUGGUUCAUUUCGUUGGAAAACACAUGGCAAUCUAUGUUGGACUCCAGUUCUAGAAUUUCAGGAAAUAAUGUUUUUUAUCUAGUCUUUUAUUGUUGGUAAGUGUUGGCAAUCUAUGUUGGACUCCAAUUCAUCAAGUACAUUAUUUUUGCUGCUUUUUUGGAUACUGUAGUAGUUGUUGGCGUGAAAUUGUUGUAUGAUAUAUCGCUGUAUACAAAAGAUGACAACUGUCAUGAGAAGACACCAAAUUCUUGUAAAUGCAUUCUUGCACCAAACAAAAAGUUUAGGGAGGAAAAGGUUAACUUUGAAGUGUGGCACGCUUGAAUACAUUAUUCCUUGCUAGCUACGAUGUUAACCAAACUUUACUACUAAAAUGCAGAAAAAGAAACAAACUUGAGCAAAUACCAACAUGUUCCUUUUGUUGGUAUUUUGGCAGCUUGAUGUCAUUUUUAAAUGAAGAUUAAAUUGUCUGCGCUAAGUUGGAAAUGUACUGUGGUAGAAAUAUAUUAUUCAUGGCAGCUUUUCGGUUAUAUUUUUCUUGUGCAAAUGUGCUUUAGUUUGCAGAUUUUGAAUUACAGUGGUUCUUGAAAGAAAGUUGAAUUCGGUUUUUGCAUCUUAUGAAGGUGUAAUUUAGUUGCAUUUUGUGGGUUUUAAGGCUGCGUACAAUAAACCCUUGUGGUCCGACCUUUUUUUGGAUCCGCUUAUAUCAGGCUCAUAGUGCACCUAAUUUGCAAAGUCAUUAAAUAUUGUUGAACUUUUUCAUGAUAUUUGACAUUUAUCUCAUUGCUCUAACCUUCAUUGUAGUACCUUUUAUAUAAAAAAAAGGCAUUCAUUGUAGUACCUAGUGUAUUUAGUUUUAUAUUGUCUCCUCUCUCCCCCUCACUAUUGAAAUUUACUCUACUUCUUAACCUAAAAUCCUCUAAAACAAAUUAGAAGAAUAAAGAGAGAUUAGAAUAGGCAGAAGAAUUGCAAAUUUAUUUACUUUGUUUCUUAAUCUCAAAUCUACCGGUACUUCAUGAAAAUCACAAUUAUCUUUUCUUAAGAUAUUUGGUUAUGUAUGUUCUCUAUUAGAAUUAACUAAUUUUUUCAUUUUCUGUUCUGUUUUCUUGUGCUAAUAGACUACUAAUUUUCUUCCUCAUGAAAUCUUAUAGGUUAUAUUAUUGCACAAUAAUCUAACUUCCAAUGGAUAAAUCUUGGAUUGGAAUGCCAAGGAACACACCAGGGAAGUGGCAGACUAGAAAUGUAGCGUUUGAUCAUUUGAUCGAUAAGCCGUUCCCUCAACAUUAUGUCACUUGGGUUAUGCAUGGGGAAAUGAAUGUAUUGCAUAAUUCUGAAAAUAUGGAGGUCAUUCAAGAUGCACCACCCGUUGAAAAUCAUGUAGAAUUGUUCAUUAAUGAAGCAUUAGGGGGCUUAAGGCAUGAGGGUGUUGAUGUAGGUCCGUCACAAGUAGUCGGAGAAGAAGAAAUGAUACAUGAUAUGCCCACUUCAAAUAACAAGGAUUUUUUUGAGUUGCUUAGAGAUGGACGUCAAGAAUUAUAUGAAGGGUCUAAGUACUCAAAGUUGGAAUUUUUGUUAAAGCUUUAUCACAUAAAGUGUUUGUCUGGAUUAAGUGACAAGGGAAUAACUAUGAUACUAGAUCUACUCAGAGAUGCAUUUAAAUUUGCAAAGAUUCCUCAUUCUUUUUAUGAAGCCAAGAAGACCAUCAGUAAGUUGUGUCUUGAUUAUAUCAAGAUAGAUGCUUGUCCAAAUGAUUGCAUGUUAUACUGGGAGGAUGAUGUUAAUGCAGAAGCACGCAAGUAUUGUCACACUUCCAGAUGGAAGCCCGAGAAGGAGAGCAGUAAAGACCGUGAACCAACAACAAGAAUGAGCCAUACCAACAACAAGAAUUUGGACAUUUUUUUGAUGUUGAUUACGAGAAUAUCCAACUUGCAAUAGAGGAGCAUAUGACUGAAUAGAUAUAAUAAAAUAUCCAAAUUGCAAUUGCAACAAGAAUUUGGACAAUCUUUUGUUGCUUGAUUAGGAUAGUUUGAUUAGUGUUUUUUUUCUUCAAAACCUACUAUCUUUUGGCUAAGAAAGUGAUAUUUAUUCUUUAUGAUGAAAGUUUUGUGAUUGUUUGUUGCUCGGGUUUUGCGUUGAAUUCGGUACGUGUUUGAUAAGCUAUUAUAAUGUGGAUCUAACAUGUUCAAACAUUUCUUUGAAUGUUUACUUUUUAACCAUAUUGGAUUCUUAUUUUUUAUAUUUCUCAGCUACUACUGUUUUCAUGAGCUAUAUUUUGUUAACUUGGUAUUGUGGUAUGCAGUUUUAUCCUUAUAGACUAUGCAAUCCUUCAUGGUGUUGUUGUAUUUGCUAAUAUUAAGGUAGCCUUCUUGUGUGAGUAGUCUUUAGGGAAUUGCAGAUAUGCCAAGGUUCAAGCGUUUGCUGAAAAAGCAAAAUUCAGAUAAGUCAGCAUCUACUUCACAAGGUACUGAAUCAACGCCAUGCAUGCCAACACAUCCGACCACGUCAAUUUUGGCCACAACACAUCUGGCCCCAUCAUUUCAGCCCACAUCGCAGGCGGCUCCAACAUUUCAGCCGGCAUCACAGCCGUCUCAAUCAGUUCACUUAACAUCCCAUCCAGCUCUAAUGGAUCAUCCAGCUCCAAUGGAUCAGGCCGCAUCACAGCCAUCUCGAUCAGUUCACUCGACUCCAACAGAUCAGGACUCAUCACAGCGAGGUCCAACAGUUCAGGACUCAUCACAGCGAGGUCCAACAGUUCAGGCCUCAUCUAGAAAGCGUUCUGGGAGCCAUUGGACUGUAGAAGCAAUAGGUAAAUAUUUUUGACUAUUAGUACAUAUUCAGCAGUCCCUCUAAGUCCCUUCAGACCUUACGUGAAAGUUGGUUACUUUCAAUUUUGUGAUGCAAUUGCAGUACUUAUCAGGUUUUCCCUGCAUGCUUGUCUUAUCUUUGAAAAAUUCAACAACUAUAUAGUGAAUUUGGUGGCAUUUUCUACCUUUCCACUUGAGUUUCCUUUGAAUUCCAAUCUCAAAGAAAUAUUGGUGGGGGAGGGGGGCGUUUUUCAAGAAAGGCAUGUUCUCUCUUUUCAUACUCUACUUUGGUUUUCUUUAAUUUGUAAUGUUAUUUGUUGUUCUUGGUCUUUACUUAGAAGAAGAAUAAGCUGUAUUUUUGGUGAUGCAAGGUUUAUGACUAAGCCUUUGCUGAACUAAUUUAGUAUCCAUUCCAAUAGAAGGCUUAUAAACCGGAUUAAAUUCUCGACCAGUUUAGUUUCUGGACCGGGCUCUGGAAGUAGAAAUGAGAGAGCUAAGACGUGUUUGAGCUAAAUAUGAACAUUGUGUUUGAGCUAAAUAUGGACAUUGUGUUUGAGCUAAAUAUGAGCAGGUGAGUUGACAACUGCCACUCAAUAUUAACAAUGGAAUUUAAUUGGAUGACCAAGUCAAAAUUCAAAAAGGGACCAAAAACAAUGAUUGUACUUCAAGUACUGAAGGUUCAUGUUCGUCCCAAUGUCAAUAUAACCAUAAUCAAAUGAUGAAUGCUCACAAUCAAAUGAUGAACGUUUUCAAGGCAUAUAUGAUAAUGAAAGAAGGGACUAUACCAGAACAGUUUGCGGGGUUCUUUGCUUCUCCUUCGACGGUUUCUCCUGCAACGCCAAGUGAUGCGGACUGUGGACCCCUUUCACCAAUGGACGCAAGAAGAUCAUGCGGUGAUAGUAAUUCUAGUGGAAACCGUUGAUUUCAUUGCAAUUGCAUUUAGAUCAUUAAUUGUGACAAUGUAAUUGUGUGGUUGAAGCAGAUGUUAGAAUAUUGGGGUGAAUAUUUUGUGUUUAAAAUAGUUUUUGAGUGAUGCUACUUAAUGUUGACAAUUUAGUUUUAAAGACUAAUGAUAUUUUAUGAUAACGUUUUGUGAUUUUAUGA